This 69-nucleotide transfer RNA is filed under the name marine eukaryotic metagenome. It matches the Rfam family "tRNA". Rfam says of the family: Transfer RNA (tRNA) molecules are approximately 80 nucleotides in length. The record is from RNAcentral.
GAGAAUAGCUCAAUUGGUAGAGCAACGGUCUCCAAAACCGUAGGCUGGGGGUUCGAGUCCCUCUUCUCC